CCUUAGGACAGAGACAAUCCCGGGAAACUGGGGCUAAUAUCAGAUAGAUGAGGAGUCCUGAAAUGGUGCCUCGUCGAAAGGGCGUCGAAGACAUGCUUUCGACGUUGCCUAAGGAUGGGACCGCGUCCGAUCAGGUUGUUGGUGGGGUAACGGCUCACCAAGCCUAUAACCGGUACGGGCCCUGAGAGGGGAAGCCCGGAGAUGGAACCUGAGACAAUGUUCCAGGCCCUAUGGGGCGCAGCAGGCGCGAAACCUCCACAAUGCACGAAAGUGUGAUGGGGUUACCCCGAGUGCCUUCCUUAAAGGAGGGCUUUUCUUCGGUGUAAGGAGCCGGAGGAAUAAGGAGGGGGCAAGAUUGGUGUCAGCCGC
Molecule: ribosomal RNA, 369 nt
Filed under: uncultured archaeon
Lineage: Archaea
Description: bacterial SSU rRNA
Rfam family: Archaeal small subunit ribosomal RNA
Source: RNAcentral